RNAcentral lists this ribosomal RNA (460 nucleotides) under uncultured bacterium. RNAcentral's name for it is "partial 16S ribosomal RNA". It matches the Rfam family "Bacterial small subunit ribosomal RNA", at positions 338 to 795 of the family's 1533-position model. The record is from RNAcentral.
CCUACGGGAGGCAGCAGUGAGGAAUAUUGGUCAAUGGGCUUACGCCUGAACCAGCCAAGUCGCGUGAGGGAAGACUGCCCUAUGGGUUGUAAACCUCUUUUGUCAGGGAGCAACGCCGGCUACGUGUAGCCGGACUGAGAGUACCUGAAGAAAAAGCAUCGGCUAACUCCGUGCCAGCAGCCGCGGUAAUACGGAGGAUGCGAGCGUUAUCCGGAUUUAUUGGGGUUAAAGGGUGCGUAGGCGGAAUGCCAAGUCAGCGGUAAAAGCGCGGGGCUCAACCUCGCUCCGCCGUUGAAACUGGCGUUCUUGAGUGGGCGAGAGGUAUGCGGAAUGCGUGGUGUAGCGGUGAAAUGCAUAGAGAUCACGCAGAACUCCGAUUGCGAAGGCAGCAUACCGGCGCCCAACUGACGCUGAAGCACGAAAGCGUGGGUAUCGAACAGGAUUAGAUACCCUUGUAGUC